This 1066-nucleotide ribosomal RNA is filed under the name uncultured bacterium. Its description in RNAcentral is "bacterial SSU rRNA". It matches the Rfam family "Bacterial small subunit ribosomal RNA", at positions 60 to 1110 of the family's 1533-position model. The record is from RNAcentral.
AGUCGAACGGCAGCACGGUGGUAGUUUACUAUCAUGGGUGGCGAGUGGCGGACGGGUGAGUAACGCAUAGGAAUCUGCCGAAUAGAGGGGAAUAACUGAGGGAAACUUCAGCUAAUACCACAUGACGUCUACGGACCAAAAGCAGGGGACCUUCGGGCCUUGCGCUAUUUGAUGAGCCUAUGUCGGAUUAGCUAGUUGGUGGGGUAAAGGCCUACCAAGGCGAAGAUCCGUAGCUGGUCUGAGAGGAUGGCCAGCCACACUGGGACUGAGACACGGCCCAGACUCCUACGGGAGGCAGCAGUGGGGAAUAUUGGACAAUGGGGGGAACCCUGAUCCAGCGAUGCCGCGUGAGUGAAGAAGGCCUUCGGGUUGUAAAGCUCUUUUGUAGGGGAGGAAGUGCGCGCGUGAAUAACGUAAAGCAUCGACGUUACCCUAAGAAUAAGCACCGGCUAACUCUGUGCCAGCAGCCGCGGUAAUACAGAGGGUGCGAGCGUUAAUCGGAAUGACUGGGCGUAAAGGGUGCGUAGGUGGUUUGUUAAGUUAGCUGUGAAAGCCCCGGGCUUAACCUGGGAACGGCAGCUAAAACUGAUGAACUAGAGUAGGUGAGAGGAGUGUGGAAUUUCCGGUGUAGCGGUGAAAUGCGUAGAGAUCGGAAAGAACACCAGUGGCGAAGGCGGCACUCUGGUACCAUACUGACACUGAGGCACGAAGGCGUGGGGAGCAAACAGGAUUAGAUACCCUGGUAGUCCACGCAGUAAACGAUGAGAACUGGAUGAGGGUGGAGUAAAAUCCAUCCGUAUCGAAGCUAACGCGUUAAGUUCUCCGCCUGGGGAGUACGGCCGCAAGGUUAAAACUCAAAGAAAUUGACGGGGGCCCGCACAGCGGUGGAGUAAAUGUGGUUUAAUUCGAUGCAACGCGAAGAACCUUACCUGGUCUUGACAUGUUGAGAAUCCUGCAGAGAUGCGGGAGUGCCUUCGGGAGCUCAAACACAGUGCUGCAUGGCUGUCGUCAGCUCGUGUCGUGGGAGAAUGGUUGGGGUAGUCCCGCACGAGCGCACCCCCAUUUU